RNAcentral lists this ribosomal RNA (448 nucleotides) under uncultured bacterium. Its description in RNAcentral is "partial 16S ribosomal RNA". It matches the Rfam family "Bacterial small subunit ribosomal RNA", at positions 330 to 794 of the family's 1533-position model. The record is from RNAcentral.
CCCAGACUCCUACGGGAGGCAGCAGUGGGGGAUAUUGCACAAUGGGGGGAACCCUGAUGCAGCGACGCCGCGUGGGUGAAGGAGCGUUUCGGCGCGUAAAGCCCUAUCGGCAGGGAAGAAGGAGGACGGUACCUGACUAAGAAGCCCCGGCUAACUACGUGCCAGCAGCCGCGGUAAUACGUAGGGGGCAAGCGUUAUCCGGAUUUACUGGGUGUAAAGGGGGCGCAGACGGCAGCGCAAGCCAGGAGUGAAAGCCCGGGGCCCAACCCCGGGACUGCUCUUGGAACUGCGCGGCUGGAGUGCAGGAGGGGCAGGCGGAAUUCCUGGUGUAGCGGUGAAAUGCGUAGAUAUCAGGAGGAACACCGGUGGCGAAGGCGGCCUGCUGGACUGCGACUGACGUUGAGGCCCGAAAGCGUGGGGAGCAAACAGGAUUAGAUACCCCUGUAGU